RNAcentral lists this non-coding RNA (48 nucleotides) under Echinostoma caproni. The record is from RNAcentral. Lineage: Eukaryota; Metazoa; Platyhelminthes; Trematoda; Plagiorchiida; Echinostomatidae.
GCACUGCUGACGUGUCCCACAAAACAGGACGAAACAGUUGUCCAGUGA